GACGAACGCUGGCGGCGUGCUUAACACAUGCAAGUCGAACGGAAAGGCCCUGCUUUUGUGGGGUGCUCGAGUGGCGAACGGGUGAGUAACACGUGAGUAACCUGCCCUUGACUUUGGGAUAACUUCAGGAAACUGGGGCUAAUACCGGAUAGGAGCUCCUGCUGCAUGGUGGGGGUUGGAAAGUUUCGGCGGUUGGGGAUGGACUCGCGGCUUAUCAGCUUGUUGGUGGGGUAGUGGCUUACCAAGGCUUUGACGGGUAGCCGGCCUGAGAGGGUGACCGGCGACAUUGGGACUGAGAUACGGCCCAGACUCCUACGGGAGGAAGCAGUGGGGAAUAUUGCACAAUGGGCGGAAGCAUGAUGCAGCAACGCCGCGUGCGGGAUGACGGCGGUCGGGUUGUAGACCGCUUUCGCCUGUGACGAAGCGUGAGUGACGGUAAUGGGUAAAGAAGCACCGGCUAACUACGUG
RNAcentral lists this ribosomal RNA (468 nucleotides) under uncultured bacterium. RNAcentral describes it as "partial 16S ribosomal RNA". It matches the Rfam family "Bacterial small subunit ribosomal RNA", at positions 28 to 507 of the family's 1533-position model. The record is from RNAcentral.